Molecule: ribosomal RNA, 794 nt
Filed under: uncultured bacterium
Lineage: Bacteria
Description: bacterial SSU rRNA
Rfam family: Bacterial small subunit ribosomal RNA
Source: RNAcentral
AGAGUUUGAUCAUGGCUCAGAUUGAACGCUGGCGGCAUGCCUUACACAUGCAAGUCGAACGGCAGCACGGGGGCAACCCUGGUGGCGAGUGGCGAACGGGUGAGUAAUACAUCGGAACGUGUCCUGUAGUGGGGGAUAGCCCGGCGAAAGCCGGAUUAAUACCGCAUACGAUCUACGGAAGAAAGCGGGGGAUCUUCGGACCUCGCGCUAGAGGGGCGGCCGAUGGCAGAUUAGCUAGUUGGUGGGGUAAAGGCCUACCAAGGCGACGAUCUGUAGCUGGUCUGAGAGGACGACCAGCCACACUGGGACUGAGACACGGCCCAGACUCCUACGGGAGGCAGCAGUGGGGAAUUUUGGACAAUGGGGGCAACCCUGAUCCAGCAAUGCCGCGUGUGUGAAGAAGGCCUUCGGGUUGUAAAGCACUUUUGUCCGGAAAGAAAACCUCUUGGUUAAUACCUGAGGGGGAUGACGGUACCGGAAGAAUAAGCACCGGCUAACUACGUGCCAGCAGCCGCGGUAAUACGUAGGGUGCGAGCGUUAAUCGGAAUUACUGGGCGUAAAGCGUGCGCAGGCGGUCUGUUAAGACCGAUGUGAAAUCCCCGGGCUUAACCUGGGAACUGCAUUGGUGACUGGCAGGCUUUGAGUGUGGCAGAGGGAGGUAGAAUUCCACGUGUAGCAGUGAAAUGCGUAGAGAUGUGGAGGAAUACCGAUGGCGAAGGCAGCCUCCUGGGCCAACACUGACGCUCAUGCACGAAAGCGUGGGGAGCAAACAGGAUUAGAUACCCUAGUAGUCC